CAUCACCUGACUACUCAGACAGAGAUUGGACCGAAAACAAUAAGCCAAGAAACAUCAAGGAUUGUUAGCAACACCAGAAGCUAAGGAAACAGCAUGGAGCAGAUUCCUCCCCUGGAGCCCUCAGAGAGAGCACGGCCAUGCCAACACAUUGAUUUCAGACUGCUCGCCUCCAGGACUUCAUCUGUUGUUCAGAGAGAUGUUCAAGUUAAGAAAAUAAAUUAUGUAUUCAUCCACCACAUGGAGCGAGGCAGAAGACAGAUUCCCUCCCUGUGAGCAGGGAAGACACCGUGCAGCCCUGAGGUUGGGGUGCAGGCACAGAAGUCAAAGCAACUCUUCCGAGAUCACAGAGCAAGUGAACGGGAAAGCUGGAAUUCCUACCAACGCCCGUGUUCUUUGCUGCCAUGGUAUGCAUUGCCAGGACUGAUGUGGAAGACAUUAAGCCCAACGCACUGUAUUGGCAUCGGAGGACUCGUCUUCAUAUAUCAGCUCAUGUACCACUUCUUAGCUGCUUGACCCUGGUUAAUUUACUCAUGUAAACUAUCAGUUUCCCAAUCUAAACUUAAUAGGCAUAAUAAUAUUCAUUUCAGAGGAAUUUAGUGAUAUAAAAGGAUAUAUAACAGUAUUUUGUAAGUAUUUGACAUUCAUAUUUAUACGGGUGAUAAAUGCAUAUGGUAUCACUUAAGUAUCUUUAAGUGAUAUUAAUAGAUCAGGGAGACAGUAUACCUUUACCCUAGCUCUCCAUCUUUUUCCUUUUCAGUUCUAGCUAAUGCUGUUUUAAUCAUUUCUUUAUUCAACCAUAAUCCCCACGUUUUCAUUUUAAGUUUUCUGCUGAUAAAAGCAGUUAACACUCAUUGCCAAUCAGUUUACCAUCAUGUUUCCAGGCAUGUCUGGGUUGGUUGAAGUGUGCCCUCUAACAAUUUUUUAAAUUAAUUAAUUUUGUUUUCCAGCUCUAUUGAGAUAUAACAGACAUAAUUUUGUGUAAGUUUAAGGUGUAUAGCAUGAUGAUUUGAUACCUAUGUAUAUUGUGACCUAAUAAUUUUAUAAAGAGCUGAUGGAAAGUAUAUUCCUUGGGUUCUUGCAUAUUUAGAAAUUGCUUUCAAUGGCCUUUGUACUCGCAUAAUGGUUUGGCUAGGGCGACAAUGCCUGGGUCACUUUCUUCUCUUGUGGUCUUUGAGGGCACUCCUCCAGUGUUAUUUAGAGUUGAAUAUAACUUUGUAGGUAUCUGAGGACAGCUGGCUUGUUUUCUUGUCGUGUGAUAUGACCAUUAUGCCUACUAUUUCAAGGGAUUCUUUAUUUUAGAAUCUAAAAAUUUUGCUAGGGUAUAUCUCAGUGAAGCAUUCUGGGCCUUUUUUGUUUGUUUAUUUGGGAUACAAUAGGCCAUUUCAGUCAGUAGAACCAACUCUUUUCUUUCCGAGUCGUUUUCUGGAAGUUUACCCUUAAGUAUUUCUUGUUCUCAAUUUUUUUUAUUGGGAACACUAAUUGUGUACAUAAUUAUGUCUAUUAUCUAUCUUUUGCUCAUGUAUAGUCAUAAUUUUCCUUCUAAAAUAUUCUUAAUUAUUUCAUUUCUCUACAUUUCAUGUUCUUUGCCUUUCUCCCUUCUGUUCUGUAAGACUCGCCAUAUUCUCACCUGCUUUCUGUAUGUUUCGU
Phyllostomus hastatus (greater spear-nosed bat) is the source of this 1647-nucleotide long non-coding RNA. RefSeq lists it as uncharacterized. NCBI's taxonomy places the organism in Eukaryota, Metazoa, Chordata, Mammalia, Chiroptera, Phyllostomidae. The transcript has 3 exons. The record is from RefSeq and is a predicted model, not a curated record.